Molecule: ribosomal RNA, 1008 nt
Filed under: Triticum aestivum (bread wheat)
Lineage: Eukaryota; Viridiplantae; Streptophyta; Magnoliopsida; Poales; Poaceae
Description: partial small subunit ribosomal RNA
Source: RNAcentral
AUGGGGCGAACCACAACUAACCCUAUUUGGUGUCAGAUAUGGAAAUUAUCCUGUCCGGCAAAAGUCAAAAAAUUUAUAUGGCGUACGUUACAUGGCACUCUCCCAUGUCGGGCAACACUUGCUAAUAGACACAUGAAGGUCUCGCCCCUUUGCCCUACUUGCUCUCAGGGUGUAGAAGACACGAAGCAUAUGCUUUUCCUAUGUAAUAAAGCAAAGGAGGUUUGGAAGAGGCUAGGAAUAGAUGAGAUUAUUGAUAGAGCUUGUGAGGUUGAUCGUGCUGGAGAGGCAAUACUGGAAUACCUUUUAGUUCUUCCAGAUCAAGAUUUGCGUAUUAUGGGGUACCAAAAUAUACGAGAAAUGAUAGCUAUUUCAGCUUGGUAUCUAUGGUGGGAGAGAAGGAAAUUAGUGCACAAGGAAACAACUCAGAAUGCAACUCAGAUAUCAAUGGGGAUCAUAGCCCUCACAUACAAUUUUGUAAAUGCAUCAUCUAAAGCGUCCAUGAAAAAAGGGGGUUGGCAUUGUCCCCCAAGGGGUUUCGUGAAACUCAAUGUUGACGCCUCUUUUGACCAUGACAUGCUGAAGGGUACGAUGGGGGCGGUUUUGCGAGACGACAAAGGUAGGUUUAUUGCAGGAGGAAAUGAAAAGAUUGACCAUUGUGUGGAUGUUCUGAUGGCAGAAGCUUUAGCCCUCAAAUUUGGACUAACACUAGCGCAAAGGGCAGGGUGCAAUCGCCUAAUCAUCAACUCAGAUAAUCUGGAGGUGAUUGAGACCAUGCAGGAUGGAGGACAGUCAACGGGUGCGGCAGCGGCAAUUUUUGAUGACUGCUUCCACUAUGCAUGUGAUUUUAUCGUGACUAGAUUCGAACAUUGUAAUAGAGAGGCAAAUAGAGUAGCACAUGAACUUGCUAAGUUAGCUAGAUUUUCUUCAACUUUAGAUUGGUUCGAGGAGCCUAUCAAUGAAAUUGUACUCUUCCUCACAAACGAUGUAUUGGUUAUUUCUAAUGAAUAA